CCUCAGCCUUCAUCCUGCUUGCUCACUGCUGCUCUUGCUCUCGCACUCCUUAACUGACUCUUAAAACUCCUGUCACUGACUGUCCCCUUAGAGCUGCUGAGGACGGUGCUGAAGAUGGUGCUGAGGACAAAGGGCCAGGAGGGAAAAAUACUCGCUUCAGAAGCAAGUACAUUUGUGACGUACUUAAGUGCCAGAUAUUAAAAUAUGUGGUAUAAGGCUAAUGCAUAAAACAGUGUGAUAUCCACAGCCUGGCUGACAGUAAGUACUCAAUAAAUGUUAGUUGUCGUGAUUAUAAUAUUCUAAGCAUGUUUUAUACAUAUUGUCUCACUUAGCCUUUUUUUUUUGUGGGCUAGGCACAGUGCAAGGACAAUUUUAUUCCCAUUCUACAGAUCAGGAAACUGAGGCACAAAGAGUUUAAAUAACUUGCUAAAGGUCACAAAGGCUGGCCUAGGGACACUGUGGAGUCACUGUGGCAAAGAAGCUGACCUGUCAUCUGAUGCUAUAUUCAGCUGGUUGGUGCAUUUCAGCUCUCAGUGUUGAUGUGAAGAGCUCUGACAGCAUUCUGAUUUUCAGUCAUUUGUUUGUGACUGGUUUCCCCCAAAGCUAUGUAACUCAUUGUUUCUGAAGUCGUGAAUGUUGAUGACAACGUGCCUCGGUCCAGAGCUCUCCUGUACUUCGAAUCUGAAGUACGGCACCACUGAGUCCGAAGCACCAAGCAAGAUUAACUUGGCAACGCGAUACUGGAAGGUGAUACCCUGGCAACGCUGUAAGCUGAGUUCUUCACAUAAAAGUUUGAUAAAACAUGAUUUCAGAGAUUGAUUGGGUUUUGCAUCACUUUGAGACUGAAGCAAUCAUACUUUUAGCUUGGAAAUACUACCAAGGAGUGAGAAAACACACCUACGAUGCGGCUAAUAUAAGGCACACUUAAAUAGCUCCUGUUGGUGUUAGCCUGAUAGUGAAUGUCGGGAGAUGUUUUCCCGUCAAGACAGUAUCUGCCAAAGUGGCACAGGGCACGCGUGCACCUCCCAGACCCCAGCUCUGUGAAGCCUGCAGCUGCUGCCUGCCCUUCAUCCAUCACACCUGUCACUCCAGCACUAACACAUCUUUUCAAAGUACCCUCUCCCCCAUCUUUGGCUCUGCUCAUCUGCGUGGUUGCAGCCUGUUAUGUAACUGCCACCUUACCAAAGCACCAAAAUGCUGAGCUGCUGUAUAGGUGUUAAAUUAUGCA
Long non-coding RNA from Camelus dromedarius (Arabian camel), 1228 nucleotides. RefSeq lists it as uncharacterized. Lineage: Eukaryota; Metazoa; Chordata; Mammalia; Artiodactyla; Camelidae. The record is from RefSeq and is a predicted model, not a curated record. The transcript is spliced from 5 exons.